CAGUUGCGUAUUCGAAUGUUGUCGAAGCAUAGUAGUAUCCUGAGUAGCGCGGAGCACGAGGAAUUCUGCGUGAAUCUGCCGGGACCAUCCGGUAAGGCUAAAUACUCCCGAGAGACCGAUAGCGAACCAGUACCGUGAGGGAAAGGUGAAAAGCACUUCGAACAGAAGAGUGAAAUAGUUCCUGAAACCGUGCGCCUACAAGCGGUCGGAGCUCGUUAAUGAGUGACGGCGUGCCUUUUGCAUAAUGAACCUACGAGUUGCCUUUGCCGGCAAGGUUAAGUGUGACGACACACGUAUCCGAAGCGAAAGCGAGUCUGAACAGGGCGUAUAGUCGGCAGUGGCAGACGCGAAACCAAGUGAUCUACCCUUGGCCAGGUUGAAGGCUGGGUAACACCAGCUGGAGGACCGCACCAAUAAGCGUUGAAAAGCUUCUGGAUGAGCUGAGGGUAGGGGUGAAAGGCUAAUCAAACUUGGAGAUAGCUCGUACUCCCCGAAAUGCAUUUAGGUGCAGCCUUGCGGGUUACUGAUGUGAGGUAGAGCGACUGAUAAGAUGCGAGGGCUUCACCGCCUAUCAAGUCUUGACAAACUCCGAAUGCGCAUCAGUUCUACCGCAGGAGUGAGGGCAUGGGUGCUAAGGUCCGUGCCCGAGAGGAGAAGAAUCCGGACCACCUGCUAAGGUCCCGAAAUGACAGCUAAGUUAAACUAACGAAGUCUGACUGCUAAGACAGCUAGGAUGUUGGCUUGGAAGCAGCCAUUCAUUUAAAGAGUGCGUAACAGCUCACUAGUCGAGGAGUCGGGCGUGGAUAAUAAUCGGGUAUCAAGUUGUCUACCGAAGCAGUGGGAUCAUUAAUAUGAUCGGUAGGGGAGCAUUCCAGUCAGCGUCGAAGGCGUACCGUGAGGUAUUCUGGAGCGUCUGGAAAAGCAAAUGUAGGUAUAAGUAACGAUAAAGGGGGCGGGAAACCCCCUCGCCGAAAGACUAAGGUUUCCUGAUCAACGCUAAUCGGAUCAGGGUCAGUCGGGUCCUAAGGCUCAGCCGAACGGCGAUGCCGAUGGCAGAAACGGUUAAUAUUCCGUUACUACCUUCAGGAGUGACGUGGAGACGCAGUAGUGACAGUGCCGCCAUCUGACGGAAUAGAUGGUUGAAGGGUGUAGGAGUCGAUCAUGGCAGGCAAAUCCACCAUGAGAUCCGAACCUGAUAGUAUGCCGCGUCCUUCGGGACAAGGCAAUAGUGCGCGUAAGCAUGCUGCCGAGAAAAUCCGCUAAACUUAAUCCUGUAGGUACCCGUACCGCAAACGGACACACGUAGUCGGGAUGAAUAUUCUAAGGCGCUUGAGUGAUUCACGGUUAAGGAACUAGGCAAACUGACCCUGUAACUUCGGGAUAAAGGGUCCCUACCCUUUUAUGGGAGGGCGCAGAGAAUCGGUCCAGGCAACUGUUUAACAAAAACACAGGGCUGUGCCAAAUCGAAAGAUCCAGUAUACAGCCUGACACCUGCCCGGUGCUGGAAGGUUAAGAGGAGAUGUCAUCGAUAAGAGAAGCGUUGAAUUGAAGCCCCAGUAAACGGCGGCCGUAACUAUAACGGUCCUAAGGUAGCGAAAUUCCUUGUCGGGUAAGUUC
RNAcentral lists this ribosomal RNA (1617 nucleotides) under human gut metagenome. RNAcentral's name for it is "bacterial LSU rRNA". It matches the Rfam family "Bacterial large subunit ribosomal RNA", at positions 368 to 1983 of the family's 2925-position model. The record is from RNAcentral.